This 30-nucleotide non-coding RNA is filed under the name Homo sapiens (human). The record is from RNAcentral. Lineage: Eukaryota; Metazoa; Chordata; Mammalia; Primates; Hominidae.
UUGGGAGAUAUACCUAAUGCUAGAUGAUGA